AGACGUGAGGGGGAUCCGGCUGCAACAUCUGUCACGCCACUGAUCACCAGGGUUGACUCUGCUGACCCAGCUGGCUGGGCGGGUGUCCCCUUCCUCCCUCACUGCUCCAUGUUCCUCCCUCCCGAAGCCUCGCAUUGAAUAGAGGCGUACUCGAGGGUAUCUGAGUGACUGCGCUCCCCUGAUAGAACCUCCAAACAAGCUCUCAAGAAUGAUGAAGUCACCAGUCAAAAACACACAGCGCACAAGGACCAAGGUUCAAGCCCCUGGU
This 268-nucleotide small nuclear RNA is filed under the name Erinaceus europaeus (western European hedgehog). RNAcentral describes it as "7SK RNA". It matches the Rfam family "7SK RNA". Rfam says of the family: 7SK was discovered as an abundant small nuclear RNA in the mid-70s but a possible function has only recently been suggested. Two independent studies have found that 7SK RNA binds the CDK9/cyclin T complex (known as elongation factor P-TEFb). Lineage: Eukaryota; Metazoa; Chordata; Mammalia; Eulipotyphla; Erinaceidae. The record is from Rfam by way of RNAcentral.